Molecule: long non-coding RNA, 830 nt
Organism: Drosophila gunungcola (fruit fly)
Lineage: Eukaryota; Metazoa; Arthropoda; Insecta; Diptera; Drosophilidae
Exons: 3
Source: RefSeq, a predicted model, not a curated record
AUUUCGCCUGCUGCGGUUUCAGUUGUCAUUUUACUACAGCCGCUGUUAGUUAGUUAUUUGUGUGCGUCGUCGCGCGUUUCCCAGCAAAUAAGACUGCAACGCGAAGUUUGAGCCACACCAGCAGCGGUAACAUCUGCAGCAGAACGCAGCAACAGCAGCAACAUCCUUCUUGGGCGUGCGCGCGCGUUUAGAAACGCGCGCAAAUAUCGCUUAGCUCGCUAUCGCGAUCUUCUCAAGGCUGCACGCGUUUUCUGCUGACGUCGCCGUUUGCGUCGCUGCCGCGUCGUCAUCGCGUCUGUGUCGCGUCUACGUGUUCAAAGGCAGAAAUUCCUUUCAGUUCGUGCCGUUCGCUUUCAUAAUUCCCCCUAAUUAUCCGCCGCACAUUUAAUAUUUUAUAUACAAAUUUUUUUUUUUUUUCGGUGUUUGUGUAAUGUGCAGAAAAGGCGAGCACACAAGAAAUAAACGCCACGUUUGAAAUGCAUGCAUAACGCGUAUAUAAAGUUCAAGGAAGUCCAAAAGGCCAACACAUGCAUAUCCCAAGGAAAUAUAUUGAGGGAAAAUAACAAAAAAUAAAAAAUCAUACCGUAAACUGAUCUUGGUUUCUGUGUUAUACUUAUCUAAGCAAAGAGCGGUUAUUAUUUUUGUUCUACUUUGCCGCUGCCUGCUGCAUAAGCAAACAGGCAGCGUAAGCUGUCACCGACAUGGGCAGUGAGCACUACUGCUUGAGGUGGAACAAUUACCAAUCCAACCUGUUAGGGGUGUUUAGUCAAUUACUACAAGACGGGAGCCUGGUGGACGUCACACUAGUUUGUUCAGAGGGCACAUCCAUC